This 80-nucleotide transfer RNA is filed under the name Aconitum carmichaelii. Its description in RNAcentral is "tRNA-Pro". It matches the Rfam family "tRNA". Rfam says of the family: Transfer RNA (tRNA) molecules are approximately 80 nucleotides in length. Their secondary structure includes four short double-helical elements and three loops (D, anti-codon, and T loops). Further hydrogen bonds mediate the characteristic L-shaped molecular structure. tRNAs have two regions of fundamental functional importance: the anti-codon, which is responsible for specific mRNA codon recognition, and the 3' end, to which the tRNAs corresponding amino acid is attached (by aminoacyl-tRNA synthetases). tRNAs cope with the degeneracy of the genetic code in two manners: having more than one tRNA (with a specific anti-codon) for a particular amino acid; and 'wobble' base-pairing, i.e. permitting non-standard base-pairing at the 3rd anti-codon position. Lineage: Eukaryota; Viridiplantae; Streptophyta; Magnoliopsida; Ranunculales; Ranunculaceae. RNAcentral also lists the same sequence under 2 other names. The record is from RNAcentral.
AGGGAUGUAGCGCAGCUUGGUAGCGCCUUUGUUUUGGGUACAAAAUGUCACGGGUUAAAAUCCUGUCAUUGUCAUCCCUA